AUUUAAAAACUAACGUAGUUUAAUUUGUGUAUAGCAUGUUAAGUUUUUUUAUUAUAAGAUAGAUCUAACAUAUUCUAUCAAAUCACGUUAAUUUAUAAAUAAUUAUUUUUAUGAUAUUGUAUCUUGAAAUUAAAGAUUAUGAAAUGCAUGUUUGAUAUGUAGUGUGAACGUACUGAUUGACGAUCCAAUACAUUAUCGGCGAGUUCAUAGGAAUAUAACAGUGGCGGAUGUCAAUUGUACCAAAUGCAACAGAAUUUUGGGCCGAAAAUAUGUUCAAGUAGAGGCAGAAGCACGCAGCAUUGUAAUCAGAGAAGGAAGAAUUCGAAUGAAUUUGAACAAACUCCUGUUUUGGAAUGGAGACCAUCUAGAGGACCCAAUGACGAGGGCACCUGUCAACAUAUAAGUGGGAAGAUUACCCUGAUCAUCAUCUCGAGAACAAAGCGUGACAUUAUACUUUAUUUUAAAUUUUAUUAUCCUCAAUCACAUUUAAUAUAAUCCAAUUUUAAGUGGUUUCGUUUAUCAACCAUUUAAAUGGCAAUCAUUAAAAAUUUAUCGCAUGGCAAGUGUGACUGAGAAUAUUUCAUAAUAUUAUUUGGUGCAAAAGUAAAUUUUAUACUGGAGCAAGCUGGUCCAACCUUCUCCAAGUUCUAAUGACAUGUAAUCACAAACUUGUUUGGGAAUAAAUUUCAUUUUUCUUUUGUUUUAGUCUUUGGUUUUGAUUUUUACCGAUAAUGGAAAAUUGCACUUGGAUGCUUGGCUUCGAUAUCUAUUUUUUUAAAUGGUUUAAGUAUCAUAAAACCCAAAAGAAGUCUCUAUACAUACAUAUUUAGAAGUAUCAUAUGUUUUCACAUUAAUCUUUCAUUUAAGUAAUGCGGCCUUAAAUUGGAUUAUAUUCAAUUAGACAAUUUAAGAUCAUCCACCACAUGAGCAACGUAGCAUCGUCCAAUCUAUAAAUAUGAUUGGGUGUGGCUACGUAGCUCCUCAUC
Juglans microcarpa x Juglans regia is the source of this 986-nucleotide long non-coding RNA. RefSeq lists it as uncharacterized. The transcript is spliced from 3 exons. NCBI's taxonomy places the organism in Eukaryota, Viridiplantae, Streptophyta, Magnoliopsida, Fagales, Juglandaceae. The record is from RefSeq and is a predicted model, not a curated record.